Gallus gallus (chicken) is the source of this 1760-nucleotide long non-coding RNA. NCBI's taxonomy places the organism in Eukaryota, Metazoa, Chordata, Aves, Galliformes, Phasianidae. The record is from Ensembl.
AUAGGAGAUUUCUAUGCACCUGAGGUCUUCCUAAGGAUGUGUACAGCAUGCUCAUUUGUCUGGAACCUCUGAAUUCUUCAUCAACAAGACUGACAGAUAACAGUUCUGACCAGCUUGGCGAGUGCUAUGCAAAAGCUUGUGACUUGUGCUGCUGCUGGAACAUGGGAGGGCCUCUUAUCUGAACAAUUUCUAGGGGCUCGCUUCCUCCUCAGCACUCAUCUGGCCUGGAACCUUCUUCUAAAGCGAAACUGGUGGCAGAGUUUUCAAAAGAAAGAAAGAAGAAAAAAGAGAAGAGUAAAGGGGGGGGAGAAAAUGCCAACCUUAAUCUAGAGAAGUCUCUUCUUGUGAGCUUUGCAGCUCAGUUGUGAUUUUUUUCAGUUUGUGCACUUACCAUCUGACCUCCUGCAUAACCUCACCCUGCGUUGUGUCAGUGUGAGAAUCUGAGUUGCUGCUCGUGCCACCCCCGCCUCGAGAUCUGUGCAGAAGCCUUCACACAACAAAGAGAUUCCUAAAACUACUUAAAAGCCAACAAUUUCUGAACAAAAAUUAAAUGUGAUCUUUUAAGAUGAAAUGAGGAAUGCCAACUACUCUGUCUGGAAUGAAGUGGCAGAAGGCACGUUGGGUGCAGGUGCUGUUAAAUAAGAAAUGGCAGCUCUGAGAGCAGAACUAGAGCCCUGGGCCUGUCACCUGAAACAGCAAGUGUUCCUCGUUUGGUAUUGUCCAGCCUGGUUGUUGUCUUUGUGUUCCUUUUAAUAGGGUUUAACCCAUGAUAUCUCUCUGCAUCAAUAUCCCCCACAUGAUGACAAUCCAUGCUUUGAAGGCUUUUGAGAUAAACUACAGCUAUUUAAUAUUUUCUUUUACAUUCAGCGGGUCUUUUCAUGAAGGAGACCAUAGCGGUCGAGUUACACAGCCUAGCAUGGCUUUGUCAGUUGUAUGAUUGUUAUGUUUCCAUUUAUAUCACAAUCUCCUCUGUACUAUUCAGAUCCAGAAAGAGGGAGAAAAAAAAAAAGACUGCAGUUGUAUUUUCUGUUUGUAGAAAUGCAUUUGAUAGCUGGGGUAGGAGCUGUUUUCAUCAAGUUCAAUUUUUUAAUAAAAUCCAAUUUUCUUUUCGCAUCACAGCUACGCUGUGACAAAGGGUUUGCAGCAGGUGCCUCUCACAGAGAGGAUGGAAUUGUGGGGCUCACUUCCAGCUGCCAGCAUUGAGGCACUGUGGCCCAGAGGCCUCUCAGCACGCAGCAGCAGUGAGCUGGGCAGGACUGGGCUCCAGAGGGCCUUGUGCUACAGUGGGGAUGGAGGACAGGGCUCCGCAGCACAGCAAACCUGGAUGUUUUCUGAGCAAGAGCACCUCUUGCAACUGCCCCUGGUUUGCAUUGGAACCCCACACUUCCUCCUAGCACCCUCAGUGCUCAGCUGGGAGCUUUUAUGAGGGACAAAACAGUGAUAGCUGAUUCCUUCUCUUCCUCUAACUUUAGCUUCCAAAAUAUUCCUCGUCACAUUCUCUUCAAGUGGGCCACAGUGAAAUGGGCAGCUAUGAUGCUUCAGACCUGGGACAUGGGAAGGCCAGGAUGACUUUCACCUUCAGGGCCAAUGUGCAGUUGCCUGAAAAGGAUGCCCUGCCAUGGAUGCUGUACCUCUGUCACUGACAUUCAAAACCUGUGUUGAAAUAGAGAAAUCACAGAAGGUUAAACAGAAAGGUUCUCAGUAAUGUGUAGUAGCCCACUGGACGUCUGCUUGGCUUUACCAAUGUCAGCCCUUUGAAU